AUUAAAAGAAAAGAUAAGGGAGUAGGAAAUUAAAUAUUAACAAUAAAGUAAAAAAAGAGAAAUUAAUUAUAAAGAGAUUAUUAAAACAGAAGAGUGAUUAUUUAAUAUUUAAGAUAAUUAAAGUGGGAUUUGGGAGUGUGGCAGUAAACAUUGAUGGGAGAAACAAAUAUUGUCCUAUAGGAAACGUAAAAUAGGUAUGGUAUCCCUGUUUGUGUGAUUGGAAGGUGGUAAUCAUAUCUCAGCACAAGUUGGUCUAAUCCUUUUUGUUUAGUUGGCAAAGGAGUGCAGGUAGAAAAGUUUGAACCGCUUCUUCCCCGGGAGACACAAAAGGAAAGUUUUUGCAGAAAACCGGAAACUAAUUAAGGGAAAGUCAUCAGGAAACGCUUCGAAUCCCAGCCCUUUCUACUUAAUAUCUAUCAUCCGUUUUCCUUUGAACUUUGAACCAACUCAAAGCAUUUACUCAAACACCUAGCUAGCUAGCUACCUGUCACCAACACAACUCAGAUUGCAUUAUUCCAAACGCUUCCUUGGGAACUUUCUCUUCUGUCAUAACUUGGAACUCGUGUACACUUCCUUACUGCUAAACCAAGCCCAAAACCCGUUCUUUUCUCUUUCGGCUCACGUAGAUCUGAAUACACUUUCAGAUUUUGCUCAUACUCACAAGGAACCUUCUAGAUGCCGAACCGUUGGUGGGCCGGGAACAUGGCGGUCAAGUCUGAUGACCCCAACUCAUCGCUUCAUCCCAGAGACCAAGACAGCGGCGACAACGCCAACAACGCCACUCCGACCAACAGCGGCAACAGUAACACCAACUUCAACGCUGGCGAGGACGACGAAAACCCCGCCAACAACAACGACGGCGACGACCAGAACCUUAGCAGCGGGCGGCGGCCCAGGGGCAGGCCGCCGGGGUCGAAGAACAAGCCAAAGCCGCCGGUGGUGAUAACGAAAGAGAGCCCCAACGCGCUGCGCAGCCACAUCCUCGAAAUCAGCGGAGGCAGCGACGUGGCGGAUUGCAUUGCCACCUUUGCCACGCGCCGCCACCGCGGCGUGUCUGUGCUCAGCGGAAACGGCGUCGUCACCAACGUCACGCUGCGCCAGCCCGCCGCUCCAGGUGGCGUCAUCACGCUGCAGGGGAGGUUCGAGAUUCUCUCCCUCUCCGGCGCGUUUCUGCCGGCACCGUCCCCGCCGGAGGCCACCGGAUUAACCGUGUACCUCGCCGGAGGGCAGGGUCAGGUCGUCG
Molecule: long non-coding RNA, 1243 nt
Filed under: Vigna radiata
Lineage: Eukaryota; Viridiplantae; Streptophyta; Magnoliopsida; Fabales; Fabaceae
Description: long non-coding RNA (VRAD_LNC004478)
Source: RNAcentral